Molecule: ribosomal RNA, 1164 nt
Filed under: Triticum aestivum (bread wheat)
Lineage: Eukaryota; Viridiplantae; Streptophyta; Magnoliopsida; Poales; Poaceae
Description: partial small subunit ribosomal RNA
Source: RNAcentral
AUGACUCAGGAACCUUUGUAUCCUGCAGGCCACCCUAAGAGAAUCGAGCAGGAUUCUCAGAGAAAUAAUUUAGAGGCACCUAGUUCUUCUAAAAAGAAGAAAAAGAAGAAGGAUAGGACUUUACAUGCUUCUAGUGAACCUAUUGUAGACACACCUGAGAAUCCCAAUGAUAUUUCUAUUUCUGAUGCUGAAACUCAAUCAGGUGAUGAACAUGAACCUAGUGAUAAUGUUAAUGAUAAUGUUCAUGUUGAUGCUCAACCUAACAAAAACAAUGAUGUAGAAAUUGAACCUGUUGUUGAUCUUGAUAACCCACAAUCAAGGAAUCAAUGUUAUGAUAAGAGAGAUUUUGUUGCUAGGAAGCACGAUAGAGAAAGAGAACCAUGGGUUCAGAAACCCAUGCCCUUUUCUCCUAAAUCAUCCAAAACAAAGGAUGAUGAGGAUUUUGAGUGCUUUGCUGAAAUGAUUAGACCUAUUUUCGUACGUAUGCGCUUAACUGAUAUGCUCAAAGUAAAUCCUUAUGCUAAGUAUAUGAAGGAUAUCAUUACAAAUAAAAGAAAGAUACCAGAAGCUGAAAUUUCCACCAUGCUUGCUAAUUACACUUUUAAGGGUGGAAUACCAAAGAAACUUGAAGAUCUGGGUGUGCCAACUAUACCAUGCUCCAUUAAAAGAAAUUAUGUUAGAACUGCUUUAUGUGAUAUUGGAGCCGGUGUUAGUGUUAUGCCUCUCUCUUUAUAUUGUAGACUUGAAUUGAAUAAGUUGACACCUACUGAAAUAUCUUUGCAAAUGGCCGAUAAAUCGACUGCUAUACAUGUCGGUAUUUGCGAGGACGUGCCUGUUGUGGUUGCAAAUGUCACUAUCUUAACGGACUUUGUUAUUCUUGAUAUUCCCGAGGACGAUAGUAUGUCUAUUAUCCUUGGUAUACCUUUUCUUAAUACUGCAGGGGCUGUUAUUGAUUGCAACAAAGAAAACGUCACUUUUCAUGUUAAUAGUAAUGAGCAUACGGUACACUUUCCGAGGAAACAAUCUCAAGUUCAUAGCAUCAAUUCUAUUGGACAAGUUCCAAUUAUUAUUAUUGGAGGUUUUGAAUUUCCUCUCCCUACUGUCAAGAAAAAGUAUGAUAUUCUUAUUGUUGGGGAUUUUCAUAUCCCCUUUGAGGUAACUUAG